CCUGGUUGAUCCUGCCAGUAGCAUAUGCUUGUCUCAAAGAUUAAGCCAUGCAUGUCUAAGUACAAGCCGCUUGACGGCGAAACCGCGAAUGGCUCAAUAAAUCAGUUAUGGUUCCUUAGAUCUUUCCAUCCUUCUUGGAUAACUCUGGUAAUUCUAGAGCUAAUACAUGCACUCAAGCCCCGACUCCGGCAACGGUAGGAGGGGUGCUUUUAUUAGAUCAAAACCAAUCGGACCGUUUCGGCGGUCCGUCCUUUAUGGUGACUCUGAAUAACUUUUCGCUGAUCGCACGGCCUUGGAGCCGGCGACGCAUCUUUCAAAUGUCUGCCUUAUCAACUUUCGAUGGUAGGUUAUGCGCCUACCAUGGUUGCAACGGGUAACGGGGAAUCGGGGUUCGAUUCCGGAGAGGGAGCCUGAGAAACGGCUACCACAUCCAAGGAAGGCAGCAGGCGCGCAAAUUACCCACUCCCGGCACGGGGAGGUAGUGACGAAAAAUAACGAUACGGGACUCUUCCGAGGCCCCGUGAUUGGAAUGAGUACACUUUAAAUCCUUUAGCGAGGACCUAUUGGAGGGCAAGUCUGGUGCCAGCAGCCGCGGUAACUCCAGCUCCAAUAGCGUAUAUUAAAGUUGUUGCGGUUAAAAAGCUCGUAGUUGGAUUCCUGUCUUCGGCCGGGCGGUGCCCGACUCAGGUCGGCCGCACUGCCUUUGGGUUAGGGUGUCAAAGCCUUUUCCCUUUAACGGCCGGACAAUACCACCGGAGGUGCAGGGCUAAGUGACGGGCUCUCGGGCUCCCACUGAAGACUGCACCAUUUUACAGUCCGAGGUGCCCUUAACAAGGUGUCUCGGGCGGCCGGUAACGUUUACUUUGAACAAAAUAGAGUGCUCAAAGCAGGUACACAUCACGCCUGAAUAUCACAGCAUGGAAUGAUGGAAUAGGACCUCGGUCUUAUUUUGUUGGUUUUCUCUAGACCCGAGGUAAUGGUUAAUAGAGACGGACGGGGGCAUUCGUACUGCGACGCUAGAGGUGAAAUUCUUGGACCGUCGCAAGACGAACGACUGCGAAAGCAUUUGCCAAGAAUGUUUUCAUUAAUCAAGAACGAAAGUUAGAGGUUCGAAGGCGAUCAGAUACCGCCCUAGUUCUAACCAUAAACGAUGCCGACCAGCGAUCCGACGAAGUUACUCCCAUGACUCGUCGGGCAGCUUCCGGGAAACCAAAGUCUUUGGGUUCCGGGGGAAUGAUGGUUGCAAAGCUGAAACUUAAAGGAAUUGACGGAAGGGCACCACCAGGAGUGGAGCCUGCGGCUUAAUUUGACUCAACACGGGAAACCUCACCAGGCCCGGACACUGGAAGGAUUGACAGAUUGAGAGCUCUUUCUUGAUUCGGUGGGUGGUGGUGCAUGGCCGUUCUUAGUUGGUGGAGCGAUUUGUCUGGUUAAUUCCGAUAACGAACGAGACUCUAGCCUGCUAAAUAGGUGGCGGGUUUUCUAAUGAAUUUUUGGGUUCGCAGUCCGUCGGGACCAACGUGUUCUGGUUUGGGCGGUUUCGUGCGCUUUCGUGGCCGGGCUCUCGAGUUCGGUUGCGGCAGCGUGCGGGGUUCGUCCGGCCGGGGCAUUCCCCGGCGGUCAGCUGCGUUCUCGCGUCCGUCACGACUCUUCUUAGAGGGACAAGCGGCGUUUAGCCGCGUGACAGUGAGCAAUAACAGGUCUGUGAUGCCCUUAGAUGUCCUGGGCCGCACGCGCGCUACACUGAAGGAAUCAGCGUGUUUUUCUCCCCCUGUCCGAAAGGACCGGGUAACCGCUGAACCUCCUUCGUGGUUGGGAUUGGGGACUGCAAUGAUCCCCAUGAACCAGGAAUCCCUAGUAGGCGCGAGUCACUAGCUCGCGUCGAUUACGUCCCUGCCCUUUGUACACACCGCCCGUCGCUACUACCGAUUGAAUGAUUUAGUGAGGCCUUCGGACGGGCUCGCCGGGGGUGUGCUGUUUCGGUUUCGGCCGGGCCAGCGUGCUCUAACUAACGGUGAGACUGAAAGAUGUCCGAACUUGAUCCUUUAGAGGAAGUAAAAGUCGUAACAAGGUUUCCGUAGGUGAACCUGCGGAAGGAUCAUUA
RNAcentral lists this ribosomal RNA (2104 nucleotides) under Diaphanosoma sp. TS-1999. RNAcentral describes it as "SSU rRNA". It matches the Rfam family "Eukaryotic small subunit ribosomal RNA". Lineage: Eukaryota; Metazoa; Arthropoda; Branchiopoda; Diplostraca; Sididae. The record is from RNAcentral.